Molecule: ribosomal RNA, 234 nt
Filed under: uncultured Staphylococcus sp.
Lineage: Bacteria; Bacillati; Bacillota; Bacilli; Caryophanales; Staphylococcaceae
Description: partial 16S ribosomal RNA
Rfam family: Bacterial small subunit ribosomal RNA
Source: RNAcentral
GUGAGUAACACGUGGAUAACCUACCUAUAAGACUGGGAUAACUUCGGGAAACCGGAGCUAAUACCGGAUAAUAUUUUGAACCGCAUGGCUCAAAAGUGAAAGACGGUCUUGCUGUCACUUAUAGAUGGAUCCGCGCUGCAUUAGCUAGUUGGUAAGGUAACGGCUUACCAAGGCAACGAUGCGUAGCCGACCUGAGAGGGUGAUCGGCCACACUGGAACUGAGACACGGUCCAG